This 437-nucleotide ribosomal RNA is filed under the name uncultured bacterium. RNAcentral describes it as "bacterial SSU rRNA". It matches the Rfam family "Bacterial small subunit ribosomal RNA", at positions 355 to 796 of the family's 1533-position model. The record is from RNAcentral.
UGGGGAAUAUUGCGCAAUGGGCGAAAGCCUGACGCAGCGACGCCGCGUGGGGGAUGAAGCUUCUCGGAGUGUAAACCCCUUUCGACCCGGACGAAUGACCCGCAAGGGUUUGACGGUACGGGUAUAAGAAGCCCCGGCUAACUACGUGCCAGCAGCCGCGGUAAUACGUAGGGGGCCAGCGUUGCUCGGAAUUACUGGGCGUAAAGGGUUCGUAGGCGGUGCGGCAAGUUGGGAGUGAAAUCUCUGGGCUUAACUCAGAGGCUGCUUUCAAAACUGCCGUGCUCGAGUGCGGGAGAGGCCAGUGGAAUUGCAGGUGUAGCGGUGAAAUGCGUAGAUAUCUGCAGGAACACCCGUGGCGAAGGCGGCUGGCUGGACCGCAACUGACGCUGAGGAACGAAAGCUAGGGGAGCAAACAGGAUUAGAUACCCCCGUAGUCC